This is a long non-coding RNA of Sinocyclocheilus rhinocerous, 656 nucleotides long. RefSeq lists it as uncharacterized. The record is from RefSeq and is a predicted model, not a curated record. Lineage: Eukaryota; Metazoa; Chordata; Actinopteri; Cypriniformes; Cyprinidae. The transcript has 4 exons.
CAAUCCCUUUGCAGCAACCUGGAGUAAAGACCCUUGCUGAAGGACACACCGGUGGUGACGACUGCGGAGAUCGAACCAGUAACCUUCUGCUGACCAGCUCAGUGCUUUAGCCCAGUACACCACAAAAAUAGUCAUGCUCAUGGAGAGCAGCACACAAAUGUUUGGAGCAGACACAGCAGCAGUCAGAUUGUCCCGCACAUGUUCUCCUGCUCUUGUUCAGGGUUGUAUGGUUCAGGAGUGUCAUCAUGGUCUUCCUCAUUCGCUCUGUGCACUCAAGCAAGGACAGCCUCGAUGUCCCUUUCCCAUCCAUGAUCAGAUUCAGUCUGAAUUUUCAGUCUCAGUUUUGAAGAUCAUGCAGUGUGAACUCGGCAUUAGGAGGCAUUAAGAGAGAACCGCUAUUACAUCGCGGGACAAGCAAUUGCUGUAAGUUUAGUCCAUGGGGGGCCUGCUCCAGGAUUUCUAUCUCAAGUACUGUUCUCCUGUUUGGUUAAUGGCCCGGAGUCAGCAAAACCCACACUGAAUGACAUUGCAGACUCUUGUUUAUAUGAGAAGGUCAAAAAGAUUCAAGAUGCCACAAAUUUAAAGGAGCUGUUAGAGGCAACAGAGCUGUUGAUGGACUAUUUGCUGCCUGCUGGAUGUCUCAGGUCUCUAAAAAG